GCCCGGUUAGCUCAGUCGGUUAGAGCGCCGCCUUUACACGGCGGAGGUCGUUGGUUCGAGUCCAACACUGGGUA
This 74-nucleotide transfer RNA is filed under the name Candidatus Spechtbacteria bacterium RIFCSPLOWO2_02_FULL_38_8. Its description in RNAcentral is "tRNA-Val". It matches the Rfam family "tRNA". From Rfam's summary of the family: Transfer RNA (tRNA) molecules are approximately 80 nucleotides in length. Lineage: Bacteria; Candidatus Spechtiibacteriota. The record is from RNAcentral.